UAAUUGCAGUUUUAGCCAUUAUUUUCAAUGGCAAAAACUGUAAUUACUUUUGCACCAAUCUAAUA
This is a microRNA precursor of Cercocebus atys (sooty mangabey), 65 nucleotides long. The record is from Ensembl. Lineage: Eukaryota; Metazoa; Chordata; Mammalia; Primates; Cercopithecidae.